RNAcentral lists this ribosomal RNA (465 nucleotides) under Vreelandella stevensii. Its description in RNAcentral is "partial 16S ribosomal RNA". It matches the Rfam family "Bacterial small subunit ribosomal RNA", at positions 338 to 795 of the family's 1533-position model. The record is from RNAcentral. Lineage: Bacteria; Pseudomonadati; Pseudomonadota; Gammaproteobacteria; Oceanospirillales; Halomonadaceae.
CCUACGGGAGGCUGCAGUGGGGAAUAUUGGACAAUGGGCGAAAGCCUGAUCCAGCCAUGCCGCGUGUGUGAAGAAGGCCUUCGGGUUGUAAAGCACUUUCAGUGGGGAAGAAAGCCUUGGGGCUAAUACCCUCGAGGAAGGACAUCACCCACAGAAGAAGCACCGGCUAACUCCGUGCCAGCAGCCGCGGUAAUACGGAGGGUGCGAGCGUUAAUCGGAAUUACUGGGCGUAAAGCGCGCGUAGGCGGUCUGAUAAGCCGGUUGUGAAAGCCCCGGGCUCAACCUGGGAACGGCAUCCGGAACUGGCAGGCUAGAGUGCAGGAGAGGAAGGUAGAAUUCCCGGUGUAGCGGUGAAAUGCGGAGAGAUCGGGAGGAAUACCAGUGGCGAAGGCGGCCUUCUGGACUGACACUGACGCUGAGGUGCGAAAGCGUGGGUAGCAAACAGGAUUAGAUACCCGGGUAGUC